This 299-nucleotide long non-coding RNA is filed under the name Malus domestica (apple). Its description in RNAcentral is "long non-coding RNA (MDOM_LNC020979)". Lineage: Eukaryota; Viridiplantae; Streptophyta; Magnoliopsida; Rosales; Rosaceae. The record is from RNAcentral.
CAUUAUUAAAACAGAAAUAAAAUAUAAGUUUGGAAAGAUUUAACCGAGAGAGAAGGCAGCUUGCUGCUUCUGUUUUUCUCCUCCCCGAGGCUCACGCUGCUCGCCAGUCCGCCCGUGCCUCUGGUCUUCUACCCGUGUGGACUGUGCUUCUGACAAUCUCUCUUCUUUCUCCGCACAGUUUUCUGUGCAGCUUCUCUCACUAGCUGUCAGGCAGCUGUCCUUCUUCUCUCGCUGCAAGGCUCUGACCUGCCUUCCAAAUUCCCCCGACUUCUGACCUCUCUCCCCUUCUCUUAUCCCUC